UGUGGCUCAGUGGUAGAGUGCUUACCUAGCAUGUGUGAGGCACUGGGUUCAAUUCUCAGCA
This 61-nucleotide transfer RNA is filed under the name Marmota marmota marmota (Alpine marmot). It matches the Rfam family "tRNA", at positions 6 to 65 of the family's 71-position model. From Rfam's summary of the family: Transfer RNA (tRNA) molecules are approximately 80 nucleotides in length. Their secondary structure includes four short double-helical elements and three loops (D, anti-codon, and T loops). Lineage: Eukaryota; Metazoa; Chordata; Mammalia; Rodentia; Sciuridae. RNAcentral also lists the same sequence under 4 other names. The record is from Rfam by way of RNAcentral.